Molecule: ribosomal RNA, 487 nt
Filed under: uncultured bacterium
Lineage: Bacteria
Description: bacterial SSU rRNA
Rfam family: Bacterial small subunit ribosomal RNA
Source: RNAcentral
GACGACGCUGGCGGCGUGGAUUAGGCAUGCAAGUCGAACGGUAGGAUACCUUCGGGUAUCUGAGAGUGGCGAACGGGUGAGUAACACGUAGGUGAUCUACCCUCAAGAUUGGGACAACCCAGGGAAACUUGGGCUAAUACCGGAUGAAAGCAGCAGUGAUGUUGUUUGAAAGGUGGCGUAAGCUGCCGUUUGGGGAUGAGCCUGCGCUCUAUUAGUUAGUUGGCGGGGUAAAGGCCCACCAAGGCGAUGAUAGAUAGGCGGCCUUAACGGGUGGUCGCCCACACUGGGAUUGAGAUACGGCCCAGACUCCUACGGGGGGCAGCAGUCGAGAAUAGUCUACAAUGGCCGAAAGGCUGAUAGUGCGACGCCGCGUGAACGAAGAAGCCCUUCGGGGUGUAAAGUUCUUUUAUAUGUGAGCAGUGCUUUCUAUGUGAACAGCAUGGGGAGAGAGAUAUUAGCAUAUGAAUAAGCAACGGCUAACUCCGUG